CCCGGCUGUUCCAACGGCCCGGCUGGGGCGACGCCUCGUCUUCCCGACUCCCGCCGCUCUUUGCUCUUCGGGCCGGUGUCCCGCCACCCUCCCUCCGGUUCCUCGUCGUCGGGCCGGGAACUCGCAGCUCAGCGCCCGAAAUUGGUGAGCGCUCUCUAAUCAGAAAAACCAGUUGUCUUCGGGAAGACAGACCUGUUUCAUCCGCAGCUUUUCCCUGCCAGUGGAAAAACAAGAAACCUGUCAAUGGCGAUGCUAACUCCUGGCACUUCCCAUGUGGCGAAGACUGGCAAUUUCGAGUGCUCCACAACAACAUCAGCAAAGAGGAGAAAGUAAUCUACUGAGGAACCAGCAUUGACAGCGGUGGAAUCUGAGUUCUGGAUCCGCUUGGGGUUGUUGGAACUGGCAAUACUACUGUCACCAGUCCAGAGGCAUCCAGAGCUGUCAGGUCUGAGGAUGGAGUCGGCGAGAUCCAAGAUCUAGGGGUGUGCAACUGAAUCAAGUUCCAAGCAAGAGGCAGUGGUCUGGAGAUCCAAUGAGGCAGGCGCAGAACUGGCAGUUGAGGUAUGGAUCUGGCAGAGGAUGAACUGUCAGAUUUAUGACAGGCAGAAGAGAGGCCUGGAGCUGUGGCAGAGACUGAGACAAGACCAUCAGGUAUCUCCAUUGAUCAUUGACCUUCAAGAACCAGCCUUCAUUACAGAGUACAGUUACCAUUGUACUUUAACACGGGUUACAGCUUCCUUGUCAUGCUGGCUUGGUGUUUUCUGCAUUUAUGUUUGUUUUGGGUCGUCUUCCGUCAGGUGUGGUCAGGUCUGGUGCAGCUGGCUGGUGUUCAUCAUUUAGGUUCUCUGCAGUGCCACGGUUACUGGGUACACUUGAUCUUUUGCUCUGUCUGACUCCAACAAGAAGGCGAGUCAUACAGUUUAGCCUGAGUCCAGUGUUUCCACUGGCUACCUUGUGAGGUCUGCACACAAACUUAGAAGUCAUUUGUCAAAAGCACAACCACCUGGGAUUUUCGGGCAGCUGUCUCACAAUGACUUGAUCACCCGGUUGAGAGAGGACUAUCUUCUCUUCCUCUGACUUUCUUUGGUCAGCAAUAUGUUGUUGCUGAUUUGCUCUGUCCCUCAAUGCAUUAACCUGAUCACAGUGGUCCUUCACAUCUCCAUAUGGUCUUACUAAAUUGGCUCCACUAUCUUCUUCCUCUUCAGUUUCUGUCAUCUCAUGUUCUUCUGUGCUAUCUUUGCACUGUGAUUUCCAAAAUCAAUCCCUUUCUGCACCUUACUCUCCCCUUUAUGGUGUGCCUUUAAUUGCUGCUACCUUUACAGGUAGCUGGACUACUUCUAACAGCUCUUCACUGUGUUUGUGCUACCUUGGGACUUCCUGACAUGAUUUGUGAUCAUUGUCCUGUUGUAAAAAAAAUACCUCUUAUAACAAUGAUUAGUGAGGUACAGAGAGAAAUGUAUUUACCGACAAGUACCUUUAUUGUUUGAACAAAUUCAUACACUGAAUACCUUGUGUGCACACCCACUAAGUAUCCUUGAAUAGUCAAAGAAUAGCAAAGGUAUUACCCGGGCAAAAGAAUCUACUGACCAGCUGACCAGAUUUUCCUCGUAGUCCAGAUUCACUCGCCAAGUGUUUCAUGUAGGGUUGCUCAUGCUGCAUCUGUGAUGGUUAUUCUGUGAAGUUACUGCUGCCAGCACACACAAAGCAUCCAUUUUUAUAUCCACUCCUUAUCAAUUCAAAUAUUGCAUUCCAGUGUCAUUGGCCAUGGGUCAUGUGUCUUACCUUUAACACCUUGUUAUUGGUUCUGCUCUAAACCAGCAUCCAUUUAUUGCCUCUUCCCAUCAAGUGACAGUCCAUAAUUUAAGUCUCCUUGUUCUCAAUCAGCAACGAGCUCAAAUCACUCCAGGCAGGCACCAACCCCAGCAUUCACAAACCUGCACACUAUAUCCAUCCAAAGAACAUCUCACAAAUAACUUCUUAUUUGGAAGUUAUCUCUAGUCCAGCAGAUUAUCUGCAGUGUGUCUUUAAAACAUGCAUGUCAAGCUCACAAAAUGGAGAAUAGAGUGUCUUCACAAAAUGGCAGCCUCCAUUCCCAAGCACACAGCAAGAGCAAAGACAACUAGUGUGUCUGUUUCCACUGUCCUUGAUUCAUUUGGAUUCACUGAUCUGUAGACUGUUGUUUUGCUGUCCAACAGUCCCAUCUCCUACCCUUACUAGGGCUGCUUUACCCAUUGAGACAUGCUGUCUGGUCUUUGCAUCAUAGAUGUUCACUGGUUCUGUUUUGUCCAUGUUAUUUUUCCUUUAUGAUAGCACUUGCCUUACUUAGUGUGUCUAUCCCCAGGAUAGUGCCUCAUUGUUUAGACACAGCUAAAAUCUACAAGAAGAUGCCUUCCCUCUAAAUGAAGAACCUGAGGUUAUAAAGCAGUUACAGACCUGUUCUUAAAACACACAAGCAUGCUUACAAAUGAGUACGCCCCAUUGGCACCACCAGUAACCACCCUUCGCAACAGGUGGCCCUGUCUCACCAAGUUACCCAAAAAUGCCUGGUCUCUUGCACAAACACACACACACAACACUACUUUUAUAUCUACCCAUUCAGCUGUGUUCCUGAUAUCUUGUGAUCCCAAUCAUUGACCUGAACAGAUCUAAACUUAAUCUUAAAAAUACUCACUGCUGAGAUCAUUGACCACACAAUAGGUCACAAGCAUGUCCCUGUCAAGCCCCCAAAUGUAGUGACUGUCAACAAAAGCUACCAGAGAGACAGGCAGCUGGUAGUAUAAAAGUCUUUAUUCGGCACACAUUCGGAGUUCAGCUGACAGCAUUCGGAGUUUCUCUGGAGUGUUUCUCUGACCCAACAUUAUAUGCUAAAGGUCAAUGGUAACAGUGGGACAAUUUCUUUAGUUAUAAUGCCUCCUUUGAGUUACAGAUAAUUUUCAAACACCUAGAUCUUCAAACCAAUACACCCAAAAAUAGUGUUAUUCCCAGUUUGCUAUUGACCUUUAGGAAGACCAUUGUUCUGAGCUGCAUUUUAAACUCAACAAUCCAUGUGCAAAACUGAAGACUGGUUGUUAUUGAAAUUAAUAUUUUCUAUAUUCCAUAUUUCCAGAAUACACCCUAACAGCAGUCAGUGUAAUGCUUUACACACCAGCUGUAAAAUUACUUACAGUCAGACGUCUCAGCAAAGUUUCAAGUCUCAGGAUCCUGUUGAUUGUUCAUCAUUCAAUGCCACAGUAUCUUCUGGAUGACUGUUUUCCAGGUUUUAACAUGCACUGAACUACAUUGAAAGAGUGCCAAGGUGGCUGAACAAUCUCUCUUGGACACCUAAGCACUCCGUUGAUAGAUGGGUAAGUCCAAUUUCCAUCCACAGUGCGAGUUACGUCAGGACGGUCUUCUACAUAUGGAGGCAGCUACCCAGUUCCCUUGGCCUGGCAUGAUGAGGUGCAGAAACAUCCUCACCCUCUGCUUCAGAGAGGGACAUGAGAUCUAUUUCAUAUCACUACUGUUCUGGGAAUGGCUGUGGCUCUGCAGAUGGAUCUUCACGUGGCUCUGUUUAUUAUCAGAGAAUGUAUACACUAUACAAUCCGAAAUACUUAGUCAUCGCUGACAUCCACGGAAAACAGAACCCCAAAGACCGCUUUCCUGCAAGUAGCAGUAAGCAUCAACCUCCCUCUCAUCUGUUUCAGCAAAAAAGCAUCAGCACCCACUUAGCAAUAGCAGAGUACCCAAAGAGAGACCAUGAUUUGCAGUCAACAAAAGCUAUUGUUUACCUGACCGUUCGACAUGCCACAGGCUCUUUCCCUAACAAGGAACAGAGAGGUGUCACCCAUUCAUAGCAAAAAGGGAGGCUAACAGUCUGCUACAUUGCAUUUUAUCCUGAGAUUCUCUGACUCGAGAGUUAGCAGCAAACUCUCCCCACCAUUGAGAGCGUGCAAUCGCUGGUCUACAGAGACCUCCAUCUGUACAUCCGCCACAGUGAAAUCCUGUUGUCCCUUCUCCUUCAGCAUCACUAAGUGAAAUCGCUAUCUUCCAACCAGCUGGCAAGCUCCAGGAGCAGGAACUCAUCUGCCGUUUUUAAAAAAAGUUUGCCAUUGCAAAUCAGGACCUCAAUAGAAUCCCAGACCCCUUGAAAAGGGAAAAAAAAAGACUUUUAAGAAAAGAAUGAACUCUUCCUGAGUUUCAAGCAGCAGCCACUGCCCUGUGACUCAGCCAAUGGUGGGCUACCACCAACAGUGGUGCAUUCAACAAGCCCACCUCGUCUCUGGAUUGUCUGCAGUUACUGGGUCCAAGGACCGGAUUGAGUCAUUCUCUUGACCAGGAACCUCAGCAGCAGUCCUCUUUUACUGGAACAGAGGUGUCUGCAGGUCCCUUUGCCAACUCCAGUUCCUCUCACUAGGGAUCAGCCAUACUGUGACAUCCCUCUGUAGUUAUUGGUUCUCUAAUGAGCAUGCAGGCCAUAGUGGCGCAGUGAUGGAUGCUGCUGCUAUGUCAAGGUACCUUCCCACCCAGUCUCUCCUGGGUCCUUGAGGCGUUGAAGAGAUGGUUUUCAUGGGAGAAGGUGUUGCCUGCUUCGUACCGUUCUCCACUGCUUGGGAAGUCACCACAAUCCAAUUGGACUUAGAGGGACAGAGACUCUCUCAGGGAGUUCUGCACUCUUAGUCGGACUCAGCUCCCAAAUGGCAGAUAUUUACUUGGAUGGUGGGAAGCUCCAUCUUCAAUACCCCCAAGUGCUAUCUGGAUUUCGGUCUCCGCCUCAACCUCACACUGACCCUGACUGUCUCUCAAGAGAUCUGGCCUCUCCAAGCUGGUAAUCUACCAGUUUAACCAGAAUUUAGUACAUUGGUCAAAUGUAUCUCUCACACCACAGUAAAUAUAUAAUCGACAAUUACACAUCCAUCUCAAUUGUAAAGGUCCAAGGAGAUAGACUCAGAACAGAACGUGGGGUGAACAAAAUGGUCACUCAGACAGGCCUUCCAGUAGAGACUAACAAGGGACAAUGAAGUAGAUUAGGUAACCACAAAGGGGCCAGAUACAAAAUGAUGAUCAUCAAUACCAGGCAAUGUUGCAGUAAGGCAAGUGUUAUCAUAAUAUCCAGGCAAGGUAGGAUUGCAAGUUAUAGUCCAGACAGGAAAAGUCUUUGAAGGACACUUCCCUUUGAACACCAGGGGCCUGGAGAUGUGAUCAGUAAUCUAAGACACACACCAACAAAUGCUUCAAAUCAUCAUCCAUUGUCAGCUUAGUUUCUAAUGACUUUUAAUAUGUGUAUUGUGAAUGGAGACUGUUCUUUCAAAUAGGGAAAUCAAACAUAACAGUUUACCAAAUGGUCAAUGUCUGUAACUGCUAAUCGAUUCUGUAUGAAAAU
This is a long non-coding RNA of Hypanus sabinus (Atlantic stingray), 5359 nucleotides long. RefSeq lists it as uncharacterized. The transcript has 3 exons. The record is from RefSeq and is a predicted model, not a curated record. NCBI's taxonomy places the organism in Eukaryota, Metazoa, Chordata, Chondrichthyes, Myliobatiformes, Dasyatidae.